RNAcentral lists this transfer RNA (76 nucleotides) under Cordylochernes scorpioides. RNAcentral's name for it is "tRNA-Thr". It matches the Rfam family "tRNA". From Rfam's summary of the family: Transfer RNA (tRNA) molecules are approximately 80 nucleotides in length. Their secondary structure includes four short double-helical elements and three loops (D, anti-codon, and T loops). Further hydrogen bonds mediate the characteristic L-shaped molecular structure. tRNAs have two regions of fundamental functional importance: the anti-codon, which is responsible for specific mRNA codon recognition, and the 3' end, to which the tRNAs corresponding amino acid is attached (by aminoacyl-tRNA synthetases). tRNAs cope with the degeneracy of the genetic code in two manners: having more than one tRNA (with a specific anti-codon) for a particular amino acid; and 'wobble' base-pairing, i.e. permitting non-standard base-pairing at the 3rd anti-codon position. Lineage: Eukaryota; Metazoa; Arthropoda; Arachnida; Pseudoscorpiones; Chernetidae. The record is from RNAcentral.
GGUCAUGUAGCCUAGUGGUCAUGACAUCUGCCCGGUAAGCGGAAGGUCGUGGGUUCGAUUCCCAUCCCUUGACACU